CGUGUAGGCGGCUGGACAAGUCAGAUGUGAAAUCCCCUGGGCUUAACCCCAGGAAGUGCAUUUGAAACUGUCUAGCUGGAGUAAGGGAGAGGAAAGUGGAAUUCCUGGUGUAGAGGUGAAAUUCGUAGAUAUCAGGAGGAACACCGGUGGCGAAGGCGACUUUCUGGCCCUAUACUGACGCUGAGACGCGAAAGCGUGGGUAGCAAACA
This 209-nucleotide ribosomal RNA is filed under the name uncultured Smithella sp. RNAcentral's name for it is "partial 16S ribosomal RNA". It matches the Rfam family "Bacterial small subunit ribosomal RNA", at positions 568 to 774 of the family's 1533-position model. The record is from RNAcentral. Lineage: Bacteria; Pseudomonadati; Thermodesulfobacteriota; Syntrophia; Syntrophales; Smithellaceae.